AAUCCAUGAUGAGGGCAUUGAGCUUGGUAGCCUUUGAAUCUCUCCCAGGCUUCACUGAAUCCUUCCAAGCCGUUCUGUUGAAAGCUGGAGAUCUCAUUUCUCAGCUU
Molecule: small nucleolar RNA, 107 nt
Filed under: Brassica napus (rape)
Lineage: Eukaryota; Viridiplantae; Streptophyta; Magnoliopsida; Brassicales; Brassicaceae
Description: Plant small nucleolar RNA R71
Rfam family: Plant small nucleolar RNA R71
About the family: R71 is a member of the C/D box family of snoRNAs containing the C (UGAUGA) and D (CUGA) box motifs. Multiple nearly identical copies of this snoRNA have been identified in Arabidopsis, and it is thought to function as a 2'-O-ribose methylation guide for 18S ribosomal RNA.
Source: Rfam by way of RNAcentral